GGAUGUGAAGCUGACCUGGCUGUCACAUCUGCCACCACACAGAUUGCCAGGGUUCAUUUGGGCUGAUCUGGCUGGCUAGGCAGGUGUCCCCUUCUCCCUUCAGCUUCAUGUGCAUCCAUCCUGAAGCAACAUGCUGUCAAAAGGGACACCUUGACAGAGGAGGACUGGCUUCAAUCAAGAACACAGGAGCAGCUGUGCUCCCCUGCAAGCACCCACAAACCAGCUCUCCAACUAGCUAGACAAGAUUUUGAGUGUCUUUAUCACAAAAAAAAUUUAUAAAUAUUUAAGGUAAUGGAUAGGCUCAUUACCCUGAUUU
Molecule: unclassified non-coding RNA, 316 nt
Organism: Marmota marmota marmota (Alpine marmot)
Lineage: Eukaryota; Metazoa; Chordata; Mammalia; Rodentia; Sciuridae
Gene: 7SK
Rfam family: 7SK RNA
About the family: 7SK was discovered as an abundant small nuclear RNA in the mid-70s but a possible function has only recently been suggested. Two independent studies have found that 7SK RNA binds the CDK9/cyclin T complex (known as elongation factor P-TEFb).
Source: Ensembl